UCUCCGUUGGUGAACCAGCGGAGGGAUCAUUACCGAGUUUUCAACUCCCAAACCCCAUGUGAACUUAUACCAUUUACAACCGUUGCUUCGGCGGGUUCUCGCCCCGGGCUUUACACCCCGGAACCAGGCGGCCCGCCGGGGGACCCAAACUCUUCGUUAUUUACUGGCCUCUCUGAGUAACUUAUACAAUAAGUCAAAACUUUCAACAACGGAUCUCUUGGUUCUG
RNAcentral lists this unclassified non-coding RNA (226 nucleotides) under root metagenome. RNAcentral describes it as "partial contains small subunit ribosomal RNA, internal transcribed spacer 1, and 5.8S ribosomal RNA". The record is from RNAcentral.